CUGAAACCGUGUACGUACAAGCAGUGGGAGCACAGAGCAAUCUGUGUGACUGCGUACCUUUUGUAUAAUGGGUCAGCGACUUAUAUUCUGUAGCAAGGUUAACCGAAUAGGGGAGCCGAAGGGAAACCGAGUCUUAACUGGGCGUUAAGUUGCAGGGUAUAGACCCGAAACCCGGUGAUCUAGCCAUGGGCAGGUUGAAGGUUGGGUAACACUAACUGGAGGACCGAACCGACUAAUGUUGAAAAAUUAGCGGAUGACUUGUGGCUGGGGGUGAAAGGCCAAUCAAACCGGGAGAUAGCUGGUUCUCCCCGAAAGCUAUUUAGGUAGCGCCUCGUGAAUUCAUCUCCGGGGGUAGAGCACUGUUUCGGCAAGGGGGUCAUCCCGACUUACCAACCCGAUGCAAACUGCGAAUACCGGAGAAUGUUAUCACGGGAGACACACGGCGGGUGCUAACGUCCGUCGUGAAGAGGGAAACAACCCAGACCGCCAGCUAAGGUCCCAAAGUCAUGGUUAAGUGGGAAACGAUGUGGGAAGGCCCAGACAGCCAGGAUGUUGGCUUAGAAGCAGCCAUCAUUUAAAGAAAGCGUAAUAGCUCACUGGUCGAGUCGGCCUGCGCGGAAGAUGUAACGGGGCUAAACCAUGCAC
Molecule: ribosomal RNA, 645 nt
Filed under: Escherichia coli
Lineage: Bacteria; Pseudomonadati; Pseudomonadota; Gammaproteobacteria; Enterobacterales; Enterobacteriaceae
Description: partial 23S ribosomal RNA
Rfam family: Bacterial large subunit ribosomal RNA
Source: RNAcentral